This 489-nucleotide unclassified non-coding RNA is filed under the name Bombus terrestris (buff-tailed bumblebee). Its description in RNAcentral is "misc RNA ENSBTSG00005037535.1". The record is from RNAcentral. Lineage: Eukaryota; Metazoa; Arthropoda; Insecta; Hymenoptera; Apidae.
CGUGAUACUAACUUUGAAACACGUAUUUCGAAAUGUCUGAUUAUUUUUCAACUCCAUUAUUAUCGUACGGUACGGUAUUAUCGUUAAGUUCUCAACACUGGAAUAUCAAUCUUCUAGCCAGGACACGACUAACAGGAAGACGAAUUUGUAGGAUACAGCACAGUGCCACAUAAAUCAGAAAGAGCAACGCAGCUAAGGUGUCUCUACCAGCCAAGUUAUGAAUGUUUAUGUUUCUAUACGUUUUAUUGCUACAUAUGGCUUUAUUUGUAGCCAGCAGAGCAUUAAUUUUAUAGUAUCAACGAAUUCGAAGUUUCUUCUGGCACCUCGAUGGCAAACUGACGUAUCGUAAAUAUCGUAAAAUGAGUACCUUGAAUUUCCCCUAAAUGUUUAAGUUUCCCAAUGUCUACAAAGUUAACUAACUCUUCGCUGAUCAGUGUUCGAUCACCACCGAGGAAUAAAAUUUAGCGUAACCUACCCUUGUGAAAGGAG